GACGAACGCUGGCGGCGUGCUUAACACAUGCAAGUCGAACGGAAAGGCCCUGCUUUUGUGGGGUGCUCGAGUGGCGAACGGGUGAGUAACACGUGAGUAACCUGCCCUUGACUUUGGGAUAACUUCAGGAAACUGGGGCUAAUACCGGAUAGGAGCUCCUGCUGCAUGGUGGGGGUUGGAAAGUUUCGGCGUUUGGGGAUGGACUCGCGGCUUAUCAGCUUGUUGGUGGGGUAGUGGCUUACCAAGGCUUUGAAGGGUAGCCGGCCUGAGAGGGUGACCGGCCACAUUGGGACUGAGAUACGGCCCAGACUCCUACGGGAGGCAGAAGUGGGGAAUAUUGCACAAUGGGCGGAAGCCUGAUGCAGCAACGCCGCGUGCGGGAUGACGUCCUUCGGGGUGUAAACCGCUUUCGCCUGUGACGAAGCGUGAGUGACGGUAAUGGGUAAAGAAGCACCGGCUAACUACGUG
RNAcentral lists this ribosomal RNA (468 nucleotides) under uncultured bacterium. RNAcentral's name for it is "partial 16S ribosomal RNA". It matches the Rfam family "Bacterial small subunit ribosomal RNA", at positions 28 to 507 of the family's 1533-position model. The record is from RNAcentral.